CCUACGGGUGGCAGCAGUGAGGAAUAUUGGUCAAUGGACGAGAGUCUGAACCAGCCAAGUAGCGUGAAGGAUGACUGCCCUAUGGGUUGUAAACUUCUUUUAUAUGGGAAUAAAAUGUUCCACGUGUGGGCUUUUGUAUGUACCAUAUGAAUAAGGAUCGGCUAACUCCGUGCCAGCAGCCGCGGUAAUACGGAGGAUCCGAGCGUUAUCCGGAUUUAUUGGGUUUAAAGGGAGCGUAGGUGGAUUGUUAAGUCAGUUGUGAAAGUUUGCGGCUCAACCGUAAAAUUGCAGUUGAAACUGGCAGGCUAGAGUACAGUAGAGGUGGGCGGAAUUCGUGGUGUAGCGGUGAAAUGCUGAGAGAUCACGAAGAACUCCGAUUGCGAAGGCAGUUCACUGGACUGCAACUGACACUGAGGCGCGAAAGUGUGGGGAGCAAACAGGAUUAGAUACCCCAGUAGUC
RNAcentral lists this ribosomal RNA (460 nucleotides) under uncultured bacterium. RNAcentral's name for it is "partial 16S ribosomal RNA". It matches the Rfam family "Bacterial small subunit ribosomal RNA", at positions 338 to 795 of the family's 1533-position model. The record is from RNAcentral.